CUCCACCCAAAGGCUCCUUUCUCCAUAUCUGGUGGUCUUUCCACUGCCUUUUAUGACGACUGAAAACCCAGAAAGUCCAGAUGACUCUAGGAGAGUGAAACAGAUUCAUUCACUCAACAAAUAAAUGAGUUACAGACUUUGGGUACUGAGAGCAAGAAUGAGAAAGCAGGAAAAUGAGUAAGCAUGAAAUGGAAAAGAGAUGAAAAAAAGAAGACAGGAACAAAACAGGUAUUUAAAGACUGUAUAGAAGGAAGAGACCUUAGAAUUUCUCUAAUUCAGCCCCCAAGAUCACCCACAUAUUAAAUAGGAGAUCCAGAACUCAAAUCCAAGGACUCAUCUUCCAAGUCUAUGCUGUUUCCACUAUCCCACAUGGUUAAAAUAUGUUUACAGUACACAGGGAACCUAGAGAAGUGAAUGAGGUUUCUUUAGUCCCUGGGGUACUAUAGAAGGAUAUAGUUAGAGGCUGAAAAUGUUUAGAAUUUCCCCCUGGGGAAGACUAGAGAGCCUAGAGAAAAUUGCCUCAGAAUUUUAUGGGCAAAGUGACAUCAUAUAUUCUAAUGCUCUACCAGAUGGGAUGCUUUUCAGGGGUUAGAAGACAGAAUAAGGAAAAAAGGGAAUUUUGAGCAGAUGGGUUUCUGGAAACCGGAGAAACUGGAGAAAUAUCAGUGUGUCUUUAUUGAUCUAUCUUCCUGGCAUAACCAUGUGACCUUGGGCAAGUUUCAACUUAUGGGCUCAAUUUCCUCAACUGUAAAAAGAGGGAAAUAAAUACUUGCAUCGUUUGGAUCAGUAUUUUGGAAAAAAAAAAUUUGAAAACUGUAAAGUGCUAUGUGUUUGGCAGUUGUUAUUAUAUUGUAGUCAAUAAUGUAUUUCAUUUCUGUAGGAGAUUGAGAGUCUCUGAGAACUACUGUAAGAGAAACUGAGUCAGGAAGCUUUUGAAAGUGGGAACUGGCUGAGGGAAGAUUCCAAGGAUGGAUGAACACAGAGCUACAGGGACUGAAGAGGUUCCGCGGGAAGGUAGGACUCACCAAAAUGGAGGACUAUUGUUGCCCCGCCAGCUGCAGAAGCGGAUUUGUUUUCUGAAAUACCCAAUACAAUGGCUGCAUCUAACAGCGUAUGUGUCUAACAUCCUGCCCUCUUGUAUCCUGUCUCUCUGCCAGGGAGAUGGAGGUAUUUGUCAUUAUCUGUUCUCUAGGAUCAAUUUUGGCUUUUACGAUUUCUCAUGGUCCAACAAAUCCUGCCUCAGACACUUACUAACUGUAUAACCUUAGGUUAGCCACUUAACUCUUCUCCGCCUCAGUUUGCUCAAAUGUCAAAUAGGAAUAGUAGCAUCAUCUCCAUAGAGGGUCUGUGAAGAUUAAAUGAGAUAACAUAUGUAAAGAACUUCACAAAUCUAAAGAGUUGAAUGAAUGCUAGCUAUUAUUAUCAUCUUCUUCUUCAUUAUCAUCAUCAGCUAGGUGACAUGGUAAAAAGAAUGCGAGAUUUGGAAUGAGGAUGUGUUGGGCAAAUCACUUAAACUUUAACUCAGUUUUCUCAUCUGUAAUAUGGGAAUAAGAAUAGUACCUCUCUCCCAAGGUGGUUGUAUCUCAAAUGAGAUAAUAUUUGUAAAGUGCUUUGCAAACCUUAAAGCUCCCUAUAUUUUCUAUCUAUGAUGAUAACAGC
Long non-coding RNA from Phascolarctos cinereus (koala), 1659 nucleotides. The record is from Ensembl. Lineage: Eukaryota; Metazoa; Chordata; Mammalia; Diprotodontia; Phascolarctidae.